Long non-coding RNA from Olea europaea var. sylvestris, 441 nucleotides. RefSeq lists it as uncharacterized. Lineage: Eukaryota; Viridiplantae; Streptophyta; Magnoliopsida; Lamiales; Oleaceae. The transcript is spliced from 2 exons. The record is from RefSeq and is a predicted model, not a curated record.
CGUUACAAUUUUUAUUCCCUCCACACUCGACAAACUAAACUAUAAAAUGCAAUCCCAAAGAGGAAAUAAGCAUAAGGUGUAGAAAAUUUUCUGAUAUCUUGUGUGCAAAGAUGGCAUCACUCAAGCCUGAGAAACCUGGUUGUCAAUCUGGCAAGAAAGAGCCUGCCAAAGCUCCUGUCCCUAAACAGGCCCCUCCGAAGGAAGAACAAAAGCCUCGUGAGCCUAAGAAGAAGGCAACAGGUACCAGGUCAUCUGCAAAGAAAUAGGACGAACAAGGAAGAGUAAUGUUUGAGUAGAACUGUUUAACAGCCCAUUUGUGGCUGUCUUUACUUCUAUAUGUUGUGAAAGCAGUAACUGUCUUUACUUUUAUAUUUUAGACCUAUGAAACCCUUGUUCUAUGGCUUUGCUUGCCCAAUAAAAUGAUUCCUAUUUAAAGCUCAA